CCUACGGGAGGCAGCAGUGGGGAAUAUUGGACAAUGGGGGGAAGCCUGAUCCAGCGACGCCGCGUGAGGGAAGAAGGAUUUCGGGAUGUAAAGCUCUAUCAGCAGGGAAGAAAGAAGUGACGGUACCUGACUAAGAAGCCACGGCUAACUACGUGCCAGCAGCCGCGGUAAUACGUAGGGGGCAAGCGUUAUCCGGAUUUACUGGGUGUAAAGGGAGCGUAGACGGGGAUGCAAGUCUGAUGUGAAAGGCGGGGGCCCAACCCCCGGACUGCUUGGGAAACUGUAUUGCUUGAGUGCAGGAGAGGUAAGUGGAAUUCCUAGUGUAGCGGUGAAAUGCGUAGAUAUUAGGAGGAACACCAGUGGCGAAGGCGGCUUACUGGACUGUAACUGACGUUGAGGCUCGAAAGCGUGGGGAGCAAACAGGAUUAGAUACCCGGGUAGUC
This 443-nucleotide ribosomal RNA is filed under the name uncultured bacterium. Its description in RNAcentral is "partial 16S ribosomal RNA". It matches the Rfam family "Bacterial small subunit ribosomal RNA", at positions 338 to 795 of the family's 1533-position model. The record is from RNAcentral.